AGGUGCGAUCAUACCAGCACUAAUGCAUUGGAUCCCACCAGAACUCCGCAGUGAAGCGUGCUUGGGCGAGAGUAGUACUAGGAUGGGUGACCUCGUGGGAAGUCCUCGUGUUGCACCUC
This 119-nucleotide ribosomal RNA is filed under the name Vigna angularis (adzuki bean). Lineage: Eukaryota; Viridiplantae; Streptophyta; Magnoliopsida; Fabales; Fabaceae. The record is from RNAcentral.